Vicia faba (fava bean) is the source of this 246-nucleotide non-coding RNA. Lineage: Eukaryota; Viridiplantae; Streptophyta; Magnoliopsida; Fabales; Fabaceae. The record is from the annotation of a GenBank genome assembly.
AUGGCCACCACACGAACAGUCCUUGAGAGCCUCCAUAAUUUCCAAGGAAAACUCGACAUUGUUCGCCAUCUUGCCAAACUUUGCAUAGACAUUAUCGAGGUUGGAUUUCUCGUCGCCUCUAUAGACGACUUCGAAGUCAUUAAAAUGAUUACCACUGAAGUCAUAAACCCUGUCGCCGAAAACAGUUAUGUCUUCGUCAUUUGUGGUCUCUCCAGAUGUAAUGAGAAGGAUAUUCAAAGGGCUUGA